Molecule: ribosomal RNA, 513 nt
Filed under: uncultured bacterium
Lineage: Bacteria
Description: bacterial SSU rRNA
Rfam family: Bacterial small subunit ribosomal RNA
Source: RNAcentral
GACGAACGCUGGCGGCGUGCCUAAUACAUGCAAGUCGAGCGGACCAAAGGGAGCUUGCUCCUGGAGGUUAGCGGCGAACGGGUGAGUAACACGUGGGCAACCUGCCUGUAAGACUGGGAUAACAUCGAGAAAUCGGUGCUAAUACCGGAUAAUAAAAAGAACUGCAUGGUUCUUUUUUGAAAGAUGGUUUCGGCUAUCACUUACAGAUGGGCCCGCGGCGCAUUAGCUAGUUGGUGAGGUAACGGCUCACCAAGGCGACGAUGCGUAGCCGACCUGAGAGGGUGAUCGGCCACACUGGGACUGAGACACGGCCCAGACUCCUACGGGAGGCAGCAGUAGGGAAUCUUCCGCAAUGGACGAAAGUCUGACGGAGCAACGCCGCGUGAGUGAUGAAGGUUUUCGGAUCGUAAAACUCUGUUGCUAGGGAAGAACAAGUGCCGUUCGAAAGGGCGGCACCUUGACGGUACCUAACGAGAAAGCCACGGCUAACUACGUGCCAGCAGCCGCGGUAAA